UCACUCUAGCAGUACACAUACUAAAGUUAAUAUGAUACAGAGAAGAUUAACAAGGUCUGUACUCAAAGAUGACAUGAAAAUUCAUGAAAUGUUUCAUAUUUUG
Molecule: small nuclear RNA, 103 nt
Organism: Equus asinus (donkey)
Lineage: Eukaryota; Metazoa; Chordata; Mammalia; Perissodactyla; Equidae
Source: Ensembl